This 497-nucleotide ribosomal RNA is filed under the name uncultured bacterium. RNAcentral's name for it is "partial 16S ribosomal RNA". It matches the Rfam family "Bacterial small subunit ribosomal RNA", at positions 28 to 507 of the family's 1533-position model. The record is from RNAcentral.
GAUGAACGCUGGCGGCGUGCCUAAUACAUGCAAGUCGAGCGAACAGACGAGGAGCUUGCUCCUCUGACGUUAGCGGCGGACGGGUGAGUAACACGUGGAUAACCUACCUAUAAGACUGGGAUAACUUCGGGAAACCGGAGCUAAUACCGGAUAAUAUAUUGAACCGUAUGGUUCAAUAGUGAAAGACGGUUUUGCUGUCACUUAUAGAUGGAUCCGCGCCGCAUUAGCUAGUUGGUAAGGUAACGGCUUACCAAGGCAACGAUGCGUAGCCGACCUGAGAGGGUGAUCGGCCACACUGGAACUGAGACACGGUCCAGACUCCUACGGGAGGCAGCAGUAGGGAAUCUUCCGCAAUGGGCGAAAGCCUGACGGAGCAACGCCGCGUGAGUGAUGAAGGUCUUCGGAUCGUAAAACUCUGUUAUUAGGGAAGAACAAAUGUGUAAGUAACUAUGCACGUCUUGACGGUACCUAAUCAGAAAGCCACGGCUAACUGCGUG